GUGCUUGCUUCAGCAGCACAUAUACUAACAUUGGAACGAUAUAGAGAAGAUUAGCAUGACCCCUGCGCAAGGAUGACAUGCAAAUUUGUGAAGCAAAUACAUUUUUA
This 107-nucleotide small nuclear RNA is filed under the name Meriones unguiculatus (Mongolian gerbil). The record is from RNAcentral. Lineage: Eukaryota; Metazoa; Chordata; Mammalia; Rodentia; Muridae.